UACGUAGGGUGCGAGCGUUGUCCGGAAUUACUGGGCGUAAAGCGCGUGUAGGCGGCUUAGCAAGUCGGGCGUGAAAGCCCUCGGCUCAACCGAGGAAGUGCACCCGAAACUGCUGAGCUUGAGUGCCGGAGAGGAUGGCGGAAUUCCCCAAGUAGAGGUGAAAUUCGUAGAUAUGGGGAGGAACACCGGUGGCGAAGGCGGCCAUCUGGACGGUAACUGACGCUGAGACGCGAAAGCGUGGGGAGCAAACAGG
Molecule: ribosomal RNA, 253 nt
Filed under: uncultured bacterium
Lineage: Bacteria
Description: partial 16S ribosomal RNA
Rfam family: Bacterial small subunit ribosomal RNA
Source: RNAcentral